Molecule: long non-coding RNA, 270 nt
Organism: Haliaeetus leucocephalus (bald eagle)
Lineage: Eukaryota; Metazoa; Chordata; Aves; Accipitriformes; Accipitridae
Exons: 3
Source: RefSeq, a predicted model, not a curated record
GGAUGUUCUCCUUUGACAUGUUUCUCCUGUGCUUUCCUGCACAGCUGACAGAAAGACGACCAGCUCAAAAUGAUUAAAUAUGAAGGAUUACCUGUGAUGAAGGCUUCCAGCAUGAGCCCCAGGACCAUCUGUAUUGCAAGCAGUGCAAUAGCACUGGGACAGUCCCCGCUUGGGAACAUAGUGCCGUAACCAAUUGUGGAGCAUCAUGGUCCAGCUCCAGGUCCCCAUUCAUCUCAGCCAGCAAAUACCAAAGCACUGCAAAGACUAGCC